RNAcentral lists this long non-coding RNA (928 nucleotides) under Capra hircus (goat). Its description in RNAcentral is "lncRNA (ENSCHIG00000005101.1)". The record is from RNAcentral. Lineage: Eukaryota; Metazoa; Chordata; Mammalia; Artiodactyla; Bovidae.
UCUUUUGCCCUGUAAAGUAACAGAUUCCCAGAGUUCAAGGUUGAGGACAUGGACAUUUUGGGGAAGGUGGGUAUUUUUCUGCCUGCCAGAAAUUAAACAUUCUUCCACUUAGCAUGGCAUUGCCUUUGGGAUUUCAGGCUAUAACUACAACUAGCGAUUCUGCAUUCGUCUAGAUAUUUGUUGAGCACCUACUGUGCACCUGGUGCCAUGCUGAGUGUUACAACUGCAGCAGUGACUAGAACAAUCACCCUUGUGAAUGAGACACAGGCCCUCAAGCCUACCCUGCCCGCCCUACCUGUGGGCGCUGGAGCUUACCAUACAUAUCAAAGGCCCUCCUGGGCACCUGCCCCACUUUCUUUCCUGUGAGUGGCACAGUGUAGACUGCUUUCACCCAUCAAUCUUAGGGCCACUUUGAUUGCUGGGUUCCGAGGGUGGCCUCUGCAGGCACUCAGAGAUGGGAAGUCCCCUCUCUCAGGGCCGUUGGUUCUUGUACAGGCUAAGAACAGAGGUGUUGAGGCCACUCUGAAAGUCAACCAGAAAGUCCUGCUGCACAUGAAGGCUCUUCACCAUGACAGAUCACAGCGUGGUGAAGUCUGGCAUAACCUGGCCCUGGACGUGGCUCACUCCUUCCAGCUGAGGUUUCCCCAAGCCCUGAAUGUGGACGGGGACAUUGUCUUCAGACAGAGUCACGAGGGAGCAUUUGACUGUGGCGUGGAUGCACGAGCUACCAUCAACCGCAACAUCACGUCCCAGGUCUCGGUCCAGCUGAAUGGAUCUGACUCCCACUCGGUGGUUUCCUUGCAGCUCAGACGUCCCCGUGGACCCACGUUUCCUCCAGACUUACAGGUACAGAUGGUGGUCCCUUCAGGAUGACCUCAGUUACCUGCCAAGUGUUGUCUUGGAGCAGCCAGCUUGCUGGGAGAUGGAG